RNAcentral lists this ribosomal RNA (468 nucleotides) under uncultured bacterium. RNAcentral's name for it is "partial 16S ribosomal RNA". It matches the Rfam family "Bacterial small subunit ribosomal RNA", at positions 28 to 507 of the family's 1533-position model. The record is from RNAcentral.
GACGAACGCUGGCGGCGUGCUUAACACAUGCAAGUCGAACGGAAAGGCCCUGCUUUUGCGGCGUGCUCGAGUGGCGAACGGGUGAGUAACACGCGAGUAUCCUGCCCUUGACUUUGGGAUAACUUCAGGAAACUGGGGCUAUUACCGGAUAGGAGCUCUUGCUGCAUGGUGGGGGUUGGAAAGUUUCGGCGGUGGGGGAUGGACUCGCGGCUUAUCAGCUUGUUGGUGUGGUAGUGGCUUACCAAGCCUACGACGGGUAGCCGGCCUGGGAGGGUUACCGGCCACAAGAGGACUAAGAGACGGACCAGACUCCUACGGGAGGCAGCAGUGGGGAGUAUUGCGCAAUAGGCGGAAGCCUGAUGCGGCAGCGCCGCGUGCGGGAUGACGGCCUUCGAGUGGUGAACCACUUUCGCCUGUGACGAGGCGUGAGUGACGGUAAUGGGUAAGAAAGCACCGGCUAACUACGUG